This 126-nucleotide ribosomal RNA is filed under the name Escherichia coli. RNAcentral's name for it is "partial 16S ribosomal RNA". It matches the Rfam family "Bacterial small subunit ribosomal RNA", at positions 1 to 117 of the family's 1533-position model. The record is from RNAcentral. RNAcentral also lists the same sequence under 2 other names. Lineage: Bacteria; Pseudomonadati; Pseudomonadota; Gammaproteobacteria; Enterobacterales; Enterobacteriaceae.
UUAAAUUGAAGAGUUUGAUCAUGGCUCAGAUUGAACGCUGGCGGCAGGCCUAACACAUGCAAGUCGAACGGUAACAGGAAACAGCUUGCUGUUUCGCUGACGAGUGGCGGACGGGUGAGUAAUGUC